CUACGGGAGGCUCCAGUCGGGAAUAUUGCACAAUGGGGGGAACCCUGAUGCAGCAACGCCGCGUGGAGGAUGACACAUUUCGGUGCGUAAACUCCUUUUAUAUAAGAAGAUAAUGACGGUAUUAUAUGAAUAAGCACCGGCUAACUCCGUGCCAGCAGCCGCGGUAAUACGGGGGGUGCAAGCGUUACUCGGAAUCACUGGGCGUAAAGAGCAUGUAGGCUGGUUAGUAAGUUGGAAGUGAAAUCCUAUGGCUUAACCAUAGAACUGCUUCCAAAACUACUAACCUAGAAUAUGGGAGAGGUAGAUGGAAUUUCUGGUGUAGGGGUAAAAUCCGUAGAGAUCAGAAGGAAUACCGAUUGCGAAGGCGAUCUACUGGAACAUUAUUGACGCUCAGAUGCGAAAGCGUGGGGAGCAAACAGGAUUAGAUACCCCCGUAGUC
RNAcentral lists this ribosomal RNA (439 nucleotides) under uncultured bacterium. Its description in RNAcentral is "partial 16S ribosomal RNA". It matches the Rfam family "Bacterial small subunit ribosomal RNA", at positions 339 to 795 of the family's 1533-position model. The record is from RNAcentral.